AUUGAACGCUGGCGGCAGGCCUAACACAUGCAAGUCGAACGGUAGCACAAAGGAGCUUGCUCCUUGGGUGACGAGUGGCGGACGGGUGAGUAAUGUCUGGGAAACUGCCUGAUGGAGGGGGAUAACUACUGGAAACGGUAGCUAAUACCGCAUAACGUCGCAAGACCAAAGAGGGGGACCUUCGGGCCUCUUGCCAUCCGAUGUGCCCAGAUGGGAUUAGCUAGUAGGUGGGGUAAUGGCUCACCUAGGCGACGAUCCCUAGCUGGUCUGAGAGGAUGACCAGCCACACUGGAACUGAGACACGGUCCAGACUCCUACGGGAGGCAGCAGUGGGGAAUAUUGCACAAUGGGCGCAAGCCUGAUGCAGCCAUGCCGCGUGUAUGAAGAAGGCCUUCGGGUUGUAAAGUACUUUCAGCGGGGAGGAAGGUGAUACGGUUAAUAACCGUGUCAAUUGACGUUACCCGCAGAAGAAGCACCGGCUAACUCCGUGCCAGCAGCCGCGGUAA
Molecule: ribosomal RNA, 506 nt
Filed under: uncultured bacterium
Lineage: Bacteria
Description: partial 16S ribosomal RNA
Rfam family: Bacterial small subunit ribosomal RNA
Source: RNAcentral